Molecule: ribosomal RNA, 253 nt
Filed under: uncultured bacterium
Lineage: Bacteria
Description: partial 16S ribosomal RNA
Rfam family: Bacterial small subunit ribosomal RNA
Source: RNAcentral
UACGUAGGGCCCGAGCGUUAUCCGGUAUUAUUGGGCGUAAAGAGCGCGUAGGCGGUUUUGUAAGACAGUGGUUAAAUACCCGAGCUUAACUCGGGAGCUGCCACUGUGACUGCAAGACUAGACGAUAGCAGGGGCAAGCAGAAUUCUCGGUGUAGGAGUGAAAUCCGUUGAGAUCGAGAGGAAUACCAAUGGCGAAGGCAGCUUGCUAGGCUAUAUGUGACGCUGAGGCGCGAAAGCGUGGGGAGCGAACGGG